UUACAGAGUUAUCAAAACUCCCAAACCCAUGUGCACAUACCUCGCGUUGCCUCGGCAGGUGGCGCCCCGCCCUGUGAGGGCCUACCCUGUAGGAGCUCACCCGGUGGUCGCCCCUGCCGACGGCCCACGAAACUCUGUUUUUUUAUAGCAUUAGACCUCUGAAAAGAUAACUAAAUAAGUUAAAACUUUCAACAACGGAUCUCUUGGUUCUGGCAUCGAUGAAGAACGCAGCGAAAUGCGAUAAGUAAUGUGAAUUGCAGAAUUCAGUGAAUCAUCGAAUCUUUGAACGCACAUUGCGCCCACCAGUAUUCUGGUGGGCAUGCCUGUUCGAGCGUCAUUUCAACCCUUAAGCCCCUGUUGCUUAGCGUUGGGAGCUUACCGGAAACCGUCCGGUAGCUCCCCAAAGUCAGUGGCGGAGCCGGUUCGCACUCCAGACGUAGUAGCUUUUACACGUCGCCUGUAGCGCGGGCCGGUCCCCUGCCGUAAAAACCCCAAAUUCUUAUAGGUUGACCUCGGAUCAGGUAGGAAUACCCGCUGAACUUAAGCAUAUCAAUAAGCGGAGGAAAAGAAACCAACAGGGAUUGCCCUAGUAACGGCGAGUGAAGCGGCAACAGCUCAAAUUUGAAAUCUGGCCCUCGGGUCCGAGUUGUAAUUUGUAGAGGAUGCUUUUGGCGCGGUGCCUUCCGAGUUCCCUGGAACGGGACGCCUUAGAGGGUGAGAGCCCCGUACGG
RNAcentral lists this ribosomal RNA (731 nucleotides) under fungal endophyte. RNAcentral describes it as "eukaryotic LSU rRNA". The stretch from base 508 to 731 matches the Rfam family "Eukaryotic large subunit ribosomal RNA", at positions 1 to 228 of the family's 3401-position model. The record is from RNAcentral. Lineage: Eukaryota; Fungi.